Molecule: transfer RNA, 76 nt
Filed under: Acidobacteriota bacterium
Lineage: Bacteria; Pseudomonadati; Acidobacteriota
Also listed under: 3 other names
Description: Acidobacteria bacterium (groundwater metagenome) tRNA-Trp
Rfam family: tRNA
About the family: Transfer RNA (tRNA) molecules are approximately 80 nucleotides in length.
Source: RNAcentral
AGGGGCGUCAGAUCAACGGCUAAUCUGCCGGUCUCCAAAACCGGUCAUGGGGGUUCGAGUCCCUCCGCCCCUGCCA